This 229-nucleotide ribosomal RNA is filed under the name uncultured bacterium. RNAcentral describes it as "partial 16S ribosomal RNA". It matches the Rfam family "Bacterial small subunit ribosomal RNA", at positions 107 to 334 of the family's 1533-position model. The record is from RNAcentral.
UGAGUAACACGUAUCCAACCUGCCGUCUACUCUUGGCCAGCCUUCUGAAAGGAAGAUUAAUCCAGGAUGGCAUCAUGAGUUCACAUGUCCGCAUGAUUAAAGGUAUUUUCCGGUAGACGAUGGGGAUGCGUUCCAUUAGAUAGUAGGCGGGGUAACGGCCCACCUAGUCAACGAUGGAUAGGAGUUCUGAGAGGGAGGUCCCCCACAUUGGAACUGAGACACGGUCCAA